GUUGAUUUUGUCAGCGUGGAGGCUGGUGAGUCCUGUGUGAAUGCCAGGCUCGCAUCGUAUUAACCAGAAGCUGCAUUUACCUGGACCAUACAUCAGCCCGAGCCUGUCUCCAGUGAAGAGUUGUGUCGUGCUGGAGGGACCAUUCAUCACACCUGCCCAGCUUCUGGAGGCUCUCCUGGGCUUUGGUGUCUUAGGUCAGAGCUGUCACAAACAUCCCACAUUCACCUUGUCCCUGUGAGGGGAGGGAGCUCCAAGUACUCUCUGGCCUUGAGAAAUGGCCCCUGAUAUUCCAUUGCUUCAGCUAUGACAUCUCUGUAGCAUCACAAUCUAUGCAACUUGGAUAGAGAGAGGCUAUGGGUCACACCAUCAAAUCUGAUUGAAAUUCAUCUUCAAUCAAUCAUGUUGAUGUUGUAUCUGGAGCUGACCUGGAAGCCUGAAUAUUCCUGGUCUUAUUUACUUCUCACACCAACCCAGCUAUCCCCAUUUCAGGGAUUACAAAAUGGAGCACUGACUUGCUCAGGGUUACUUAUGCUGCAGAAAAGGGGCAGAUCCAGGGUCGGAACUUGGGUCUCUUGACUCCAACACCAGUGCUCGUGCCACAAAGCCAGCUGCCUCAGUGAGUGGCUUCCUGGCUGGAUGGCUGGUUUCUCAGGGUACUGACUUGCUUUGAAUGUCCUUUCUCCCUUUGCCUCCCCAGAGGGCGGCUUAUUUCUUUAAGCUCAAGAAGAGGGAAAAGAAAAAAGGAGACGGUGAAAUAAAUUUAUUGCCAUGUUAGAAACAUUGGAUUGAAGAAUUGAUCCCUACAGCUAAGUAAUUUCCCUCUUUCGUGCAAAAUAUAAAUAAAUCUGUAUGGCUUACGCUGAACGAUGCGCCCGGGCCGCCGGCUGGAUUUCACGACAUGAAAUGCCCUUCAGAGUCUUGGGCUUCCUCUCCUUGACCCCACCAACGAGGUGUUCUAAAUGGCCCUUGUGUUGUCCCUGAAGGAGGGAUGUUGGCAGCUCCCUCGUCUUGCCUGCUACAGUUGGGCAGACUUAGGGAUGUCUUGCAGAGUCCUUCCACAGCUCAGCUCGACCCUGGCAGGUGUGGCCCAGAACGGCUGAUUUCCAGAACCGUAAAUAUACCAGCUUAAUUAUUACUGUUAUUCUUUUCUCUAGGCAAAAGGGGAGGAGGUGGAGGGUGGGGGGUUGGUAUCUCAAGUGUGUGAUUAUGUAACACAGAGCACUCCUUUUCCCUAAAGGUUUCAUCUAAUUUCUGUUAAGAGAUGGCCAGUGUGGUGUGUCCAAAUUAAUCACGGGGGGAAGCUUUAGUCAUCCUGCUCUCGUUGUGGUUUAAUUUUAGCAUGUUUCCCUGGGGUAGCCCUCCUUCCCAGCCUCUACCUAGUCUUAGGUAAUUACAAGCCUGGAAAGAAAGAGGGAGUGUUG
RNAcentral lists this long non-coding RNA (1421 nucleotides) under Homo sapiens (human). RNAcentral describes it as "HSALNT0005015". The record is from RNAcentral. Lineage: Eukaryota; Metazoa; Chordata; Mammalia; Primates; Hominidae.